This 262-nucleotide long non-coding RNA is filed under the name Prunus persica (peach). RNAcentral describes it as "long non-coding RNA (PPER_LNC000105)". Lineage: Eukaryota; Viridiplantae; Streptophyta; Magnoliopsida; Rosales; Rosaceae. The record is from RNAcentral.
AGAAUUCUAUUCCUGAUUUCCUUACCAGAGAAUUUCUACAGGGAAAACAAUGGCAGAAAGAAGAAAAGAAAGAGAAAAAGAUGAUAAACAAAAAAGUCAAAUUGGUCAAUCAAGCCAACCCAGUCAACCCCAGUCACUCCGAGCCCUCACAUCAUCAAUGAGUCAAGCUAAAUAUGAGCCUCCUUCCCAGAUCAUCCCCUUCCCGGGAUGCUCUCCUAUCCAAAUCAGUAACAGGUUUGCCAACCUAGGAGCCACAGUCGGC